Molecule: transfer RNA, 71 nt
Rfam family: tRNA
About the family: Transfer RNA (tRNA) molecules are approximately 80 nucleotides in length. Their secondary structure includes four short double-helical elements and three loops (D, anti-codon, and T loops).
Source: Rfam
GGCUGGAUAACAUAAAGGUAAUGUCCAAGAUUGCAAAUCUUGUAAUGGCGGUUCAAAUCCGUCUCUAGCCU